RNAcentral lists this transfer RNA (73 nucleotides) under Cordylochernes scorpioides. Its description in RNAcentral is "tRNA-Thr". The record is from RNAcentral. Lineage: Eukaryota; Metazoa; Arthropoda; Arachnida; Pseudoscorpiones; Chernetidae.
GUCCAGGAACGGGAAUCGAACCCACAACCUUCUGCUUACCGGGCAGGUGCCAUGUCCACUAGGCUACCCUGGA